RNAcentral lists this unclassified non-coding RNA (306 nucleotides) under Zea mays. RNAcentral describes it as "misc RNA Zm00001eb429520". Lineage: Eukaryota; Viridiplantae; Streptophyta; Magnoliopsida; Poales; Poaceae. The record is from RNAcentral.
UCUCCUCUCCCCCAUCUCUCCUGUACGCACUCUCUCUCUCCUCCCCAAGCUGCUGACUGGCUCGCGAAGUCGCCAAGGGAUCAAUCGAGAUCUAAUCUCGUUUCUGAGAUGGGUGCAUCUACCGCCAUGGGAGCGCUCGAGCAGGCCCACCUCGCGGCCGUCGCUUCCGCAUGCGAUGAUGAUGAGCAAAACGACGCCGCAGGCCUUGCACGACGGCGACGAACCCGUCGACACCGCGUCGCCGGCGACGAGCCCCGACGGGGAUGCCACGAAGCAGCAGGAUUGCGCGUCCUCCGCCACGCCGCA